GGAUAACCUGCCCUGCGGUGGGAAAUAACCCCGGGAAACUGGGGAUAAUGUCCCAUAGGCUACGGAUGCUGGAAUGCUCUGUAGCUCAAAGAUUUGUCGCCACAGGAUGGGUCUGCGGCCGAUUAGGUAGUUGUUGGGGUAACGGCCCAACAAGCCUUUGAUCGGUACGGGUUGUGGGAGCAAGAGCCCGGAGAUGGAUUCUGAGACACGAAUCCAGGCCCUACGGGGCGCAGCAGGCGCGAAAACUUUACAAUGCGGGAAACCGUGAUAAGGGAACUCCGAGUGUCCGUAAAUGCGGACUGUCCGUAUGUCUAAAAAGCAUGCGAAGAAAGGGCCGGGCAAGACCGGUGCCAGCCGCCGCGGUAAUACCGGCGGCUCGAGUGGUGGCCACUAUUACUGGGCUUAAGGCGUUCGUAGCUGGGUCGUUAAGUCUCUUGGGAAAUCUACCGGCUUAACCGAUAGGCGUCCAAGGGAUACUGGCGAUCUAGGGACCGGGAGAGGUGAGGGGUACUUCAGGGGUAGGAGUGAAAUCCUGUAAUCCUUGGGGGACCACCUGUGGCGAAGGCGCCUCACCAGAACGGCUCCGACAGUGAGGGACGAAAGCUGGGGGAGCAAACCGGAUUAGAUACCCGGGUAGUCCCAGCCGUAAACGAUGCGCGUUAGGUGUAUCGAUGACCACGAGUCAUCGAGGUGCCGAAGGGAAACCGUGAAACGCGCCGCCUGGGAAGUACGGUCGCAAGGCUGAAACUUAA
RNAcentral lists this ribosomal RNA (752 nucleotides) under Methanomicrobiales archaeon enrichment culture clone B1-A-77. Its description in RNAcentral is "bacterial SSU rRNA". It matches the Rfam family "Archaeal small subunit ribosomal RNA", at positions 102 to 859 of the family's 1478-position model. Lineage: Archaea; Methanobacteriati; Methanobacteriota; Methanomicrobia; Methanomicrobiales. The record is from RNAcentral.